Non-coding RNA from Microbacterium sp. TS-1, 147 nucleotides. The record is from Rfam. NCBI's taxonomy places the organism in Bacteria, Bacillati, Actinomycetota, Actinomycetes, Micrococcales, Microbacteriaceae.
AACGUGCUCCGGGGUCGGUGAGAAUCCGAACCGGCGGUGAGAGUCCGCGACCCUCGAGGCCCUCGGGCCGAGAGGUUGAUCCGGUGGAAUUCCGGGACCGACGGUGAUGCGACGCGAGUCGCUAGUCCGGAUGAGAGGAAGCACGGC